RNAcentral lists this ribosomal RNA (3004 nucleotides) under Salmonella enterica subsp. enterica. RNAcentral's name for it is "23S ribosomal RNA". It matches the Rfam family "Bacterial large subunit ribosomal RNA". Lineage: Bacteria; Pseudomonadati; Pseudomonadota; Gammaproteobacteria; Enterobacterales; Enterobacteriaceae. The record is from RNAcentral.
UUAAGCGACUAAGCGUACACGGUGGAUGCCCUGGCAGUCAGAGGCGAUGAAGGGCGUGCUAAUCUGCGAUAAGCGCCGGUAAGGUGAUAUGAACCGUUAUAACCGGCGAUACCCGAAUGGGGAAACCCAGUGUGAUUCGUCACACUAUCGUUAACUGAAUCCAUAGGUUAAUGAGGCGAACCGGGGGAACUGAAACAUCUAAGUACCCCGAGGAAAAGAAAUCAACCGAGAUUCCCCCAGUAGCGGCGAGCGAACGGGGAGGAGCCCAGAGCCUGAAUCAGCAUGUGUGUUAGUGGAAGCGUCUGGAAAGGCGCGCGAUACAGGGUGACAGCCCCGUACACAAAAGCGCAUGUGCUGUGAGCUCGAUGAGUAGGGCGGGACACGUGGUAUCCUGUCUGAAUAUGGGGGGACCAUCCUCCAAGGCUAAAUACUCCUGACUGACCGAUAGUGAACCAGUACCGUGAGGGAAAGGCGAAAAGAACCCCGGCGAGGGGAGUGAAAAAGAACCUGAAACCGUGUACGUACAAGCAGUGGGAGCCCCACCACUAAGCCAGUGGUGAACUCCACAUACGCAUCCUUUGCUGAGGAUACGGUUAACGGAGCGAAAGCGACGUUCAACCUCAAAACAAGCAGAGGGGGCUUAGUGGUGGGGUGACUGCGUACCUUUUGUAUAAUGGGUCAGCGACUUAUAUUCUGUAGCAAGGUUAACCGAAUAGGGGAGCCGGAGGGAAACCGAGUCUUAAUUGGGCGUUAAGUUGCAGGGUAUAGACCCGAAACCCGGUGAUCUAGCCAUGGGCAGGUUGAAGGUUGGGUAACACUAACUGGAGGACCGAACCGACUAAUGUUGAAAAAUUAGCGGAUGACCUGUGGCUGGGGGUGAAAGGCCAAUCAAACCGGGAGAUAGCUGGUUCUCCCCGAAAGCUAUUUAGGUAGCGCCUCGUGAAUUCAUCUCCGGGGGUAGAGCACUGUUUCGGCUAGGGGGCCAUCCCGGCUUACCAACCCGAUGCAAACUGCGAAUACCGGAGAAUGUUAUCACGGGAGACACACGGCGGGUGCUAACGUCCGUCGUGAAGAGGGAAACAACCCAGACCGCCAGCUAAGGUCCCAAAGUCAUGGUUAAGUGGGAAACGAUGUGGGAAGGCCCAGACAGCCAGGAUGUUGGCUUAGAAGCAGCCAUCAUUUAAAGAAAGCGUAAUAGCUCACUGGUCGAGUCGGCCUGCGCGGAAGAUGUAACGGGGCUAAAUCAUGCACCGAAGCUGCGGCAGCGACACUGUGUGUUGUUGGGUAGGGGAGCGUUCUGUAAGCCUGUGAAGGUGGCCUGUGAGGGUUGCUGGAGGUAUCAGAAGUGCGAAUGCUGACAUAAGUAACGAUAAAGCGGGUGAAAAGCCCGCUCGCCGGAAGACCAAGGGUUCCUGUCCAACGUUAAUCGGGGCAGGGUGAGUCGACCCCUAAGGCGAGGCCGAAAGGCGUAGUCGAUGGGAAACGGGUUAAUAUUCCCGUACUUGGUGUUACUGCGAAGGGGGGACGGAGAAGGCUAUGUUGGCCGGGCGACGGUUGUCCCGGUUUAAGCGUGUAGGUGUGUGUUCCAGGUAAAUCCGGUUCACUUUAACACUGAGGCGUGAUGACGAGGCACUACGGUGCUGAAGCAACAAAUGCCCUGCUUCCAGGAAAAGCCUCUAAGCAUCAGGUAACAUCAAAUCGUACCCCAAACCGACACAGGUGGUCAGGUAGAGAAUACCAAGGCGCUUGAGAGAACUCGGGUGAAGGAACUAGGCAAAAUGGUGCCGUAACUUCGGGAGAAGGCACGCUGACACGUAGGUGAAGUGAUUUACUCACGGAGCUGAAGUCAGUCGAAGAUACCAGCUGGCUGCAACUGUUUAUUAAAAACACAGCACUGUGCAAACACGAAAGUGGACGUAUACGGUGUGACGCCUGCCCGGUGCCGGAAGGUUAAUUGAUGGGGUCAGCGCAAGCGAAGCUCCUGAUCGAAGCCCCGGUAAACGGCGGCCGUAACUAUAACGGUCCUAAGGUAGCGAAAUUCCUUGUCGGGUAAGUUCCGACCUGCACGAAUGGCGUAAUGAUGGCCAGGCUGUCUCCACCCGAGACUCAGUGAAAUUGAACUCGCUGUGAAGAUGCAGUGUACCCGCGGCAAGACGGAAAGACCCCGUGAACCUUUACUAUAGCUUGACACUGAACAUUGAGCCUUGAUGUGUAGGAUAGGUGGGAGGCUUUGAAGUGUGGACGCCAGUCUGCAUGGAGCCGACCUUGAAAUACCACCCUUUAAUGUUUGAUGUUCUAACGUGGACCCGUAAUCCGGGUUGCGGACAGUGUCUGGUGGGUAGUUUGACUGGGGCGGUCUCCUCCUAAAGAGUAACGGAGGAGCACGAAGGUUGGCUAAUCCUGGUCGGACAUCAGGAGGUUAGUGCAAUGGCAUAAGCCAGCUUGACUGCGAGCGUGACGGCGCGAGCAGGUGCGAAAGCAGGUCAUAGUGAUCCGGUGGUUCUGAAUGGAAGGGCCAUCGCUCAACGGAUAAAAGGUACUCCGGGGAUAACAGGCUGAUACCGCCCAAGAGUUCAUAUCGACGGCGGUGUUUGGCACCUCGAUGUCGGCUCAUCACAUCCUGGGGCUGAAGUAGGUCCCAAGGGUAUGGCUGUUCGCCAUUUAAAGUGGUACGCGAGCUGGGUUUAGAACGUCGUGAGACAGUUCGGUCCCUAUCUGCCGUGGGCGCUGGAGAACUGAGGGGGGCUGCUCCUAGUACGAGAGGACCGGAGUGGACGCAUCACUGGUGUUCGGGUUGUCAUGCCAAUGGCACUGCCCGGUAGCUAAAUGCGGAAGAGAUAAGUGCUGAAAGCAUCUAAGCACGAAACUUGCCCCGAGAUGAGUUCUCCCUGAGACUUAAAGUCUCCUGAAGGAACGUUGAAGACGACGACGUUGAUAGGCCGGGUGUGUAAGCGCAGCGAUGCGUUGAGCUAACCGGUACUAAUGAACCGUGAGGCUUAACCUU